CAACCGAGUUGGCCCAAAAAAAUAAAAAACGAAUUAAGGCCCAAAGGAGAGGGGUGGCCGGCCAUCUUAUGGCCCAAGCCCACAAAAUUAAUAAAUUUCCCAUGUGAUAAUUAAUAUAAAGGAUCAUUAAAUUGUCUUGAAACAUUUAGAAGUUUCAAGACAAUUGAGAAAGAGAGAAACAAGAGAAAGAAGAGCAAGAAUAAGAAGGCCAUUUUCGGCCAAGCUCUAGACCAAAAAAAAAAAAAAAAAAUUUUUUUUUUUCAAAAAUCAUUUUCUACCAAUUAAAGGGUCCUUUACAAUUUGGUGUAAUUAUUUUGGAAGAAAGAACACUUGUUUCUUCAAGUUGACAACUUGGUCAAGUGAAGAAGAUUGUAGAAAAAGAUUUUGGCGAACUUGAAACUUGAUUUUGGAGACGUGUAUGAAUCGGAAAAGGUCAACAGGUAGACAGAUUUGACUCUUAGAAGCUCCAUCAGCAGUACUGUGGCAGCGCUCCAGUUGUUCCGGAGCCUCAGUUUCUUGGUACUACUUUUGUGUACAUAUUCGGGCACGGUAGAACCGGUCCUUCUUGUAUAUGUAGAUGUACUUUGUUUAGAGGCUCGUAGACAGAUAUGUACAGUUAGAUGUUUUGUACUUUUGUGGUCCUCGUCGU
This is a long non-coding RNA of Lycium barbarum (goji berry), 649 nucleotides long. RefSeq lists it as uncharacterized. The transcript has 3 exons. Lineage: Eukaryota; Viridiplantae; Streptophyta; Magnoliopsida; Solanales; Solanaceae. The record is from RefSeq and is a predicted model, not a curated record.